CCCGUUUCAGGGCAAACUCACCGAAAGGUGGGGACGCAAAGCCUCCGGUCUACGGGACGCAUGUGCCUAUGACAGCGGGGUUGCCGGU
RNAcentral lists this non-coding RNA (88 nucleotides) under uncultured bacterium. Its description in RNAcentral is "Uncultured bacterium c-di-GMP sequence". It matches the Rfam family "c-di-GMP-I riboswitch aptamer". Rfam says of the family: GEMM was predicted in a large-scale screen for bacterial structured RNA regulatory elements. Genes associated with GEMM are involved in a diverse array of functions, including chemotaxis regulation, signal transduction, secretion and chitin. The record is from Rfam by way of RNAcentral.